UAUUGGUCAAUGGACGCGAGUCUGAACCAGCCAAGAAGCGUGAAGGAUGACAGCCCUAUGGGUUGUAAACUUCUUUUAUAUGGGAAUANAGUUUUCCACGUGAGGAAUUUUGUAUGUACCAUAUGAAUAAGGAUCGGCUAACUCCGCUCCAUCAGCCGCGGUAAUACGGAGGAUCCGAGCGUUAUCCGGAUUUAUUGGGUUUAAAGGGAGCGUAGGUGGAUUGUUAAGUCAGUUGUGAAAGUUUGCGGCUCAACCGUAAAAUUGCAGUUGAUACUGGCUGUCUUGAGUACAGUAGAGGUGGGCGGAAUUCGUGGUGUAGCGGUGAAAUGCUUAGAUAUCACGAAGAACUCCGAUUGCGAAGGCAGCUCACUGGACUGCAACUGACACUGAUGCUCGAAAGUGUGGGUAUCAAACAG
This 416-nucleotide ribosomal RNA is filed under the name uncultured bacterium. RNAcentral's name for it is "bacterial SSU rRNA". It matches the Rfam family "Bacterial small subunit ribosomal RNA", at positions 362 to 775 of the family's 1533-position model. The record is from RNAcentral.